CAGCCGCCGCGGGAAUACGUAGGUGGCAAGCGUUGUCCGGAAUUAUUGGGCGUAAAGGGCUCGCAGGCGGUUUCUUAAGUCUGAUGUGAAAGCCCCCGGCUCAACCGGGGAGGGUCAUUGGAAACUGGGAAACUUGAGUGCAGAAGAGGAGAGUGGAAUUCCACGUGUAGCGAUGAAAUGCGUAGAGAUGUGGAGGAACACCAGUGGCGAAGGCGACUCUCUGGUCUGUAACUGACGCUGAGGAGCGAAAGCGUGGGGAGCGGACAGGAUUAGAGACCCCUGUAGUCCCUGUCUCUUAUAC
Molecule: ribosomal RNA, 301 nt
Filed under: uncultured bacterium
Lineage: Bacteria
Description: partial 16S ribosomal RNA
Rfam family: Bacterial small subunit ribosomal RNA
Source: RNAcentral